GAACGCUUUGUGGUUCAACUGAUAUGAAGAGCUUGCUCGGAUUUGAAGAUGAACAUUGCAAAGAGUGGCGAACGGGUGAGUAACACGUGGGAAACCUACCUCUUAGCGGGGGAUAACACUUGGAAACAAGUGCUAAUACCGCAUAAUACUGAUAACCGCAUGGUUAUCAGUUGAAAGAUGGUUCUGCUAUCACUAAGAGAUGGUCCCGCGGUGUAUUAGCUAGUUGGUAAGGUAAUGGCUUACCAAGGCAAUGAUACAUAGCCGAGUUGAGAGACUGAUCGGCCACAAUGGGACUGAGACACGGCCCAUACUCCUACGGGAGGCAGCAGUAGGGAAUCUUCCACAAUGGACGAAAGUCUGAUGGAGCAACGCCGCGUGUGUGAUGAAGGGUUUCGGCUCGUAAAACACUGUUGUAAGAGAAGAAUGACAUUGAGAGUAACUGUUCAGUGUGUGACGGUAUCUUACCAGAAAGGAACGGCUAAAUACGUGCCAGCAGCCGCGGUAAUACGUAUGUUCCAAGCGUUAUCCGGAUUUAUUGGGCGUAAAGCGAGCGCAGACGGUUGUUUAAGUCUGAAGUGAAAGCCCACAGCUUAACUGUGGAAGUGCUUUGGAAACUGGAUAACUUGAGUGCAGUAGAGGAGAGUGGAACUCCAUGUGUAGCGGUGAAAUGCGUAGAUAUAUGGAAGAACACCAGUGGCGAAGGCGGCUCUCUGGACUGUAACUGACGUUGAGGCUCGAAA
Molecule: ribosomal RNA, 740 nt
Filed under: Weissella minor
Lineage: Bacteria; Bacillati; Bacillota; Bacilli; Lactobacillales; Lactobacillaceae
Description: bacterial SSU rRNA
Rfam family: Bacterial small subunit ribosomal RNA
Source: RNAcentral